This 468-nucleotide ribosomal RNA is filed under the name uncultured bacterium. Its description in RNAcentral is "partial 16S ribosomal RNA". It matches the Rfam family "Bacterial small subunit ribosomal RNA", at positions 28 to 507 of the family's 1533-position model. The record is from RNAcentral.
GACGAACGCUGGCGGCGUGCUUAACACAUGCAAGUCGAACGGAAAGGCCCUGCUUUUGUGGGGUGCUCGAGUGGCGAACGGGUGAGUAACACGUGAGUAACCUGCCCUUGACUUUGGGAUAACUUCAGGAAACUGGGGCUAAUACCGGAUAGGAGCUCCUGCUGCAUGGUGGGGGUUGGAAAGUUUCGGCGGUUGGGGAUGGACUCGCGGCUUAUCAGCUUGUUGGUGGGGUAGUGGCUUACCAAGGCUUUGACGGGUAGCCGGCCUGAGAGGGUGACCGGCCACAUUGGGACUGAGAGACGGACCAGACGGCUACGGGAGGCAGCAGUGGGGAAUAUUGCGCAAUGGGCGGAAGCCUGAUGCAGCGACGCCGCGUGCGGGAUGACGGCCUUCGGGUGGUAAACCGAUUUCGACUGUGACGAAGCGUGAGUGACGGUAAUGGGUAAAGAAGCAACGGCUAACUACGUG